CAGUAUAUGGGCAGCCUUCCCUGUGCUGGGGUGGAGCAGGGAGAGGUCCCCAUUCCCCCCUCAGCCUCACUCCUUCCCUUGCAGCGCCCCAUGCUGGGGUGGAACAGGGAGAGGUCCCCAUUCCCCCUCAUCCGCACUCCUUCCCUUGCAGCGCCCCGUGCUGGGGUGGAACAGGGAGAGGUCCCUAUUCCCCCUCAUCCGCACUCCUUCCCUUGCAGCGCCCCGUGCUGGGGUGGAACAGGGAGAGGUCCCCAUUCCCCCCUCAGCCUCACUCCUUCCCUUGCAGCGCCCCGUGCUGGGGUGGAACAGGGAGAGGUCCCCAUUCCCCCCUCAGCCUCACUCCUUCCCUUGCAGCGCCCCAUGCUGGGGUGGAGCGGGGCCAGGUCCCCAUUCCCCCCUCAGCCUCACUCCUUCCCCUGCAGUGCCCAGUGCUAGGGUGGAACAGGGGCAGGUCCCUGGGUCGCUAUUCCCCCUUCAGCGCCCUGUGCUGGGGUGGAGCAGGGGCAGGUCCCUGGGUCGCUAUUCCCCCUUCAGCGCCCCGUGCUGGGGUGGAGCGGGGGCAGGUCCCUGGGUCGCUAUUCCCCCUUCAGCGCCCCGUGCUGGGGUGGAGCGGGGACGGGUCCCCGGGUC
Long non-coding RNA from Gopherus flavomarginatus (Mexican gopher tortoise), 630 nucleotides. RefSeq lists it as uncharacterized. Lineage: Eukaryota; Metazoa; Chordata; Testudines; Testudinidae. The record is from RefSeq and is a predicted model, not a curated record. The transcript is spliced from 6 exons.